GACGUAGGGCGCGAGCGUUGUCCGGAUUUAUUGGGCGUAAAGAGCUCGUAGGCGGCUUGUCGCGUCGACUGUGAAAACCCGCGGCUCAACUGCGGGCCUGCAGUCGAUACGGGCAGGCUAGAGUUCGGUAGGGGAGACUGGAAUUCCUGGUGUAGCAGUGAAAUGCGCAGAUAUCAGGAGGAACACCGGUGGCGAAGGCGGGUCUCUGGGCCGAUACUGACGCUGAGGAGCGAAAGCGUGGGGAGCGAACAGG
RNAcentral lists this ribosomal RNA (253 nucleotides) under uncultured bacterium. RNAcentral describes it as "partial 16S ribosomal RNA". It matches the Rfam family "Bacterial small subunit ribosomal RNA", at positions 524 to 776 of the family's 1533-position model. The record is from RNAcentral.